RNAcentral lists this transfer RNA (77 nucleotides) under Candidatus Baldrarchaeota archaeon. Its description in RNAcentral is "tRNA-Pro". It matches the Rfam family "tRNA". From Rfam's summary of the family: Transfer RNA (tRNA) molecules are approximately 80 nucleotides in length. Their secondary structure includes four short double-helical elements and three loops (D, anti-codon, and T loops). RNAcentral also lists the same sequence under 1 other name. The record is from RNAcentral. Lineage: Archaea; Promethearchaeati; Candidatus Baldrarchaeota.
GGGGCCGUGGUCUAGCUUGGUAUGAUGGCGGCUUCGGGAGCCGUUGGUCCCGGGUUCAAAUCCCGGCGGCCCCACCA